RNAcentral lists this antisense RNA (75 nucleotides) under Micromonospora narathiwatensis. RNAcentral describes it as "ASpks TB sRNA". It matches the Rfam family "ASpks TB sRNA". Lineage: Bacteria; Bacillati; Actinomycetota; Actinomycetes; Micromonosporales; Micromonosporaceae. The record is from Rfam by way of RNAcentral.
CUUGAUCGACCCGAGCCACAACGGUUGGUCGUCCCGCCGGUGCUGUCCGUACGUGGCGAGGAGUGCCUGGGCCUC